AUGGGCUUGGAGCGAGGCGAGAAGCCGCACGCCGUGUGCCUGCCGGCACCGGCGCAAGGGCACAUCACGCUGAUGCUGGAGAUGGCCAAGCUGCUCCACGCCCGGGGCUUCCACAUCACCUUCGUCAACACCGAGUUCAACCAUCGCCGGCUGCUCCACUCCCGCGGGACGGCGGCACUCGACGGCCUCCCGAGCUUCCGCUUCGCCGCGAUACCAGACGGACUCCCCGCGUCAGACGCCGACGCGACCCAGGACGUCCCAGCCCUGUGCUACGCCAUGAUGACCACCUUUCUCCCCCGCCUACGGGCCCUUCUUGCCAAGCUCAACGACCCGAGCUCCGGGGUGUCGCCGAUCACCUGCCUCGUCGUCGACGGUGUCGCAUCGUUCAGCUACGAUGCCGCGAAGGAGCUCGGCGUGCCUUGCGCCGCGUUGUGGACGUCCAGUGCCUGCGGGUUCAUGGGUUACCGCCACUUCCGUCGGCUUAUCGACCGUGGUCUUGUGCCUUUCAAAGACGAGGAGCAGCUGACGGACAAUGGGUAUCUCGAUACGCCGGUCGACGGCAUGAGCGGCAUGUGCGAUGGCAUACGGCUGCGCGACUUCCCGACGAUGAUCCGCACCACCGACCGCGACGACACCAUGCUCAACUACGUCAUGCGCGAGGCCAAGAGGCUGUCGCUCCCCGACGCCGUGCUGCUCAACACCUUCGACGCACUGGAGCAGCCGGUUCUCAACGCCAUGCGCGCCAUCCUCCCGCCCAUGUACACCGUCGGUCCGCUGCAUCUCCACUCCAGCAGCGGCGUCCCCACCGGCACCCCGCUCGACGGCCUCGGCUCCAACCUCUGGAAGGAGCAGGACGGCCUCCUCGAGUGGCUCGACGGGCACGGCGCCGGAGCCGUCGUGUACGUCAACUACGGAAGCGUCGCUGUGAUGACGAACGAGCAGCUCCUAGAGUUCGGGUGGGGGCUGGCCGACAGCGGCUACGCGUUCAUAUGGAACAUCCGGCCGGACCUCGUUAGGGGAGAGACGGCCGUGAUGCCGCCGGAGUUCCUGGCAUCGGUUCACGGCCGCGCCAUGCUCACGACGUGGUGCCCGCAGGCGGAGGUCCUCAGGCACGAGGCGGUGGGGGCGUUCCUGACGCACUCCGGAAUCCGGAUGGAACUCCACGCUCGAUGA
RNAcentral lists this ribosomal RNA (1173 nucleotides) under Triticum aestivum (bread wheat). RNAcentral describes it as "partial small subunit ribosomal RNA". Lineage: Eukaryota; Viridiplantae; Streptophyta; Magnoliopsida; Poales; Poaceae. The record is from RNAcentral.